Molecule: ribosomal RNA, 253 nt
Filed under: uncultured bacterium
Lineage: Bacteria
Description: partial 16S ribosomal RNA
Rfam family: Bacterial small subunit ribosomal RNA
Source: RNAcentral
GACGAACCGUCCAAACGUUAUUCGGAAUUACUGGGCUUAAAGGGUGCGUAGGCGGCGCGGUAAGUUGGGUGUGAAAUCCCUCGGCUCAACCGAGGAAUUGCGCUCGAUACUGCCGUGCUCGAGGGAGACAGAGGUGAGCGGAACUUAGGGUGGAGCGGUGAAAUGCGUUGAUAUCCUAAGGAACACCAGUGGCGAAAGCGGCUCACUGGGUCUCUUCUGACGCUGAUGCACGAAAGCUAGGGUAGCAAACGGG